Molecule: non-coding RNA, 381 nt
Filed under: Candidatus Izimoplasma sp. HR1
Lineage: Bacteria; Bacillati; Mycoplasmatota; Mollicutes; Candidatus Izemoplasmatales; Candidatus Izemoplasmataceae
Description: Candidatus Izimaplasma sp. HR1 Bacterial small subunit ribosomal RNA
Rfam family: Bacterial small subunit ribosomal RNA
Source: Rfam by way of RNAcentral
UUUAUGGAGAGUUUGAUCCUGGCUCAGGAUAAACGCUGGCGGCAUGCCUAAUACAUGCAAGUCGAACGCUCUCGAUCUUCGGAUCAAUGAGAGAGUGGCGAACGGGUGAGUAACACGUAAGAAAUCUGCCCUAAAGACGAGGAUAACUAUUGGAAACGAUAGCUAAUACUGGAUAGUACAUAAGACCGCAUGGUCUAAUGUUUAAAGGUGCGUUUGCACCACUUUAGGAUGAUCUUGCGCUGCAUUAGCUAGUUGGUAGGGUAACGGCCUACCAAGGCGACGAUGCAUAGCUGGACUGAGAGGUUGAACAGCCACACUGGGACUGAGACACGGCCCAGACUCCUACGGGAGGCAGCAGUAGGGAAUUUUCGGCAAUGGGCG